Molecule: long non-coding RNA, 314 nt
Filed under: Gossypium raimondii (Peruvian cotton)
Lineage: Eukaryota; Viridiplantae; Streptophyta; Magnoliopsida; Malvales; Malvaceae
Description: long non-coding RNA (GRAI_LNC004374)
Source: RNAcentral
GUUGAACAAUAGAAUAAAAAAAUACAAGUGAAAGAGGAAGAAAUGAUACCAAUUGAAAUUUUAGCAGCAACAAUGGGGAGUUGAGGGAGGAAAAAUGAUAGAAAAUGGGGAAGAAAAGCAAAAGAAAAUAAUGGAGCAAAAAGAAAAAAGGAAAAAAGCUAUGCCAAAUGACCGAAAUUGGGAGAAAGAGAAGUGAGAGCCAAAAUUAUCAGUCCACCAAAUCGGGAUAACUCCACAAUCCUAUAUUCUCCUCCUAAAAUUACUCCAACACUCCAAUCCCAUAUUUUCCUCCUAAAAUCACUCCAACAUUCCCC